ACGAACGCUGGCGGCAUGCCUCACACAUGCCAGUCGAACGAGACCUUCGGGUCUAGUGGCGCACGGGUGCGUAACGCGUGGGAACCUGCCCUUAGGUUCGGAAUAACUCCCCGAAAGGGGUGCUAAUACCGGAUAAUGUCUUCGGACCAAAGAUUUAUCGCCUUUGGAUGGGCCCGCGUUGGAUUAGCUAGUUGGUAGGGUAAAAGCCUACCAAGGCGACGAUCCAUAGCUGGUCUGAGAGGAUGAUCAGCCACACUGGGACUGAGACACGGCCCAGACUCCUGCGGGAGGGGGCAGUGGGGAAAAUGGGAAAAGGGGCGAAAGCCUGACCCAGCAAGGCCGGGGGAGUGAUGAAGGCCUUAGGGUUGAAAAGCUCUUUUACCCGGGAGGAUAAGGACAGUACCGGGAAAAAAAGCCCCGGCUAACCCCGG
RNAcentral lists this ribosomal RNA (431 nucleotides) under uncultured bacterium. RNAcentral describes it as "partial 16S ribosomal RNA". It matches the Rfam family "Bacterial small subunit ribosomal RNA", at positions 29 to 506 of the family's 1533-position model. The record is from RNAcentral.